This 645-nucleotide long non-coding RNA is filed under the name Citrus x clementina. Its description in RNAcentral is "Citrus clementina (C. clementina) long non-coding RNA (CCLE_LNC002133)". Lineage: Eukaryota; Viridiplantae; Streptophyta; Magnoliopsida; Sapindales; Rutaceae. The record is from RNAcentral.
UUUUUCAUAUCUUCCAACAUCAGGUAAGCCAAUCACCAUGUUCUUUUGCUUGAGUUUACUAGAUUACUAAUUAUAUCUCAACAUAUAUAUUACACAAUUCUGGAAAUAGUUUGAUCUAUUUUUCUAUUAGUCUCAAUAGAUUCUUAUUCACCCUGCAAUUUCCAUUGCUGAUUUUGUCGUUCUAUUAGUUGCUUGUUUUAAAUUAUUUUCAUUUUCAAUGAAUUUUGGUCUUGGUUGUGCAGGAAUUGGCAUUGUGAUAAUUUGAGGUUUAUUGCUAACGCUAUCAUGGAUUGACGAAUUGGAUUUGGUUAUGAACUGAGUUAGCCAUCGGUUAUUAGCAGUUUCUGAACAAGGAGCAAGAAGAUACCAGUGAGGACCUGGAUUUCAGAAGCAAUUCUUUUAUUUUGCUUUUAUUUUGAAUCAUUAGCAUUUUCUUUUUCUCGUUUGGUUUCAGAUAUUGGUGGCAUUGGGUAGUGGGUUUGUUUCUCGAAUCAUGAUGAUGCCAAUGUGAUUGCAAACAGCAGAGUCUAAAAUUUAUACGACCUUGUGAUUUGUCCUAUAUUUUUUUACUAAUGUUUGCUUAAUUUUUUUUCCUUUUUGUUCUUUUUUGAGUGAUCUCCAUAAUUAAUCAAGAACCAAAAUAUC